This 5188-nucleotide long non-coding RNA is filed under the name Triticum aestivum (bread wheat). Its description in RNAcentral is "long non-coding RNA (TAES_LNC011022)". Lineage: Eukaryota; Viridiplantae; Streptophyta; Magnoliopsida; Poales; Poaceae. The record is from RNAcentral.
CAGGCCAAAUCAUGGCUGACACCGACAGCAAGAAGAUCGAUCUACCAGACGGGCUAUGCGUUGAAAUAUCUCCUGACGGUUGUACAUACCACGAUGGUCUUUGCUUCCAUUGUUUGGUAACUGACGUCUACUACCCCACUAUGGAUGACUGCAAGAGCAAUUGCAACAAAUCCUCGUCUUUACAAGACGUGCUAGUUGCCAUGACAACCUCCCCUCCUCCUCCUUUAUCUGCUCCUUAAUUUUCCGGCCUAGACAAUGGUUAUAUGUACAAGAUUGUCCCCUGAAAAUAAUGCCUAUGUGCGGAAACCAGUUAUGCAAUGCGAGUAAUAUACUGCAGCAGUUGUUGCUGAGUAUUUUGGUUUGGCAAAUCACAUUUGAACCUUUACUAGGAAUUGUUGGGAGAGCGAUGAAAUGACUCGCAAGCGCAGAUGCUCCGGAAAUCCGAGUGGUACAGCUUAGCUUGGGAUCUGUGUCGGUUAAAUCUGUGUCACAUAUACGUUUUAGAAUACAGAGGUGAAUACAUCUGCAGAUGGGCUAUACUGGACCAUAGUACUAACUCCUCGCAAAGUCGCAAGUCUCCUCUCUUCAAGUCCAUCGAUGUCCCAUGCAAAAUAAAAUGAAAUAAGUCCAUCGAUCUCUCACUUAAAAAGAGUCCUAUGGCUAUGGAUGACCAGGGAGGCCGCCCUUGGCCAAUAUCCGGCGCCGGUGAGUUCGUCUACCCUGUCAUGGUGGGUUUCUCAUCUAUCCUACCUCUCAUGAGGCGUCCGGUUCUUGUCUUUCCCAAGCUCACAUUAAUAUUCCCAAAUCAGCCCUCGGCCGGCCUUGGCGACAUCAUCUUCAUCCACUCCCGUGCUGCACACACCCAUUUCUCUGAUCUCUUAAAGCAACUCUAGCCGAGCCCAUAAAAGAUACAGGAGUAUUUGGCCGGGUAAACCUUAAUGGAGUAAAUUUAGUCCACUAAGUUUUGGUCGGUUCUAGCUGAUCCCCUAAAUUUAGCGGAGUAAAAUAAAAUUUGGUUAAGAUGAACAUAGAUUCGAUCUAAAUAAACUUCUAAACCGAAAUUCGACACGUAAUUUACAUUAUCAUCCGUCGAAACAUAGUUCAAAGUGAUACUAAAACUUGAACUCAAACAUAAGCUAAAAUCUAAAUCUAACCAAAAAAAUUAGUCGCUAUUCGACUUUGCGAGGGAGAGCAAGUCCUCCCUAGAGAUUCCACCGCCCAUGGGGUCAGUCCCUAGGUCGUCUUCGUUGUAUCCAGGAAGGUCCUUCACCACUCCUCGAUGUUGAAGCUGUCAUCGUUGCCGCCUCCACUGCCACCAUUGUUGCCGCCUCCACCGAGCCAGCUCGUCAUCGACCAGCGCCCACGUGCAUCUAGGGAUCAUACAUUCAACAGGGGGUGACUCCAUGAGUCAGGUGAUCCACAAAAACCGCAUGACCUAGAGUCCGCCAUAUGGCUGUGUGCCCCAACAUCAUUUGUUGGUAAAGAAUGUAUGGAUAGAUGCCAAAGGAACAGCCUCACGUUUCCCGGCACCAGAACUUUCCAUAAACUUUUCCAUGAGCCCUCUUCAGCAGCCGAGGUGGAGGAACCAUCCCUUUGAUCUAAGCAUGACUAUUGGAGAAUUAAUUACAAUUCUGAAAUAUACAAAUAUAGACAUAGGAGAUAAGUCCAACCAAAUUUGGGAACUUGUCUAAAAAGGGAGAAAAUUAGUCUGACUUGAUUUGUGCUUUUAAUGAGGGUUCAUAAUAUAGGAUGAUAUUAAAUAAAUCCAAUUUUAUUGCUUGAUGGUUUACACGGGAUAAGGAUGACCGGUUCUCUCUUCUCUCAAUAUAUACGAUCGACUCAUGUGCUCAUUGGUAACCAAACAUUUCUCAUCGACAACCAAAGUGACCUGAGAGCUUGCGUAGCUACUGUUGUAUCUGGUUGGCCAUGGACAAGUACACGAUUCGCAUCCUUGCACUAGGAGCCCUAGUGUGUCUACAUCUCGUAUGCUCUGCUACUGUUGCUCAAUGUAAGGCAGCUAGCACACCCAUAUUUAUGUAUCUUCACAAUGCUUAAUUUUUCUUCACUUGUCCUGGCUGGAAGUAUGUACCUAGUAUAGCUAUCAAAGGCCUUUCUAUUUUGCUUCGUAACUGGUUCCAUCGUUUAUAUGCAUAUAUAUACAUACACACUACUCUAAAAUAAUUGCAUAACGAUGGUUGUUCGUUUGUUAUUAUUCCAUAAUAUACAGGCCAAAUCAUGGCUGACACCGACAGCAAGAAGAUCGAUCUACCAGACGGGCUAUGCGUUGAAAUAUCUCCUGACGGUUGUACAUACCACGAUGGUCUUUGCUUCCAUUGUUUGGUAACUGACGUCUACUACCCCACUAUGGAUGACUGCAAGAGCAAUUGCAACAAAUCCUCGUCUUUACAAGACGUGCUAGUUGCCAUGACAACCUCCCCUCCUCCUCCUUUAUCUGCUCCUUAAUUUUCCGGCCUAGACAAUGGUUAUAUGUACAAGAUUGUCCCCUGAAAAUAAUGCCUAUGUGCGGAAACCAGUUAUGCAAUGCGAGUAAUAUACUGCAGCAGUUGUUGCUGAGUAUUUUGGUUUGGCAAAUCACAUUUGAACCUUUACUAGGAAUUGUUGGGAGAGCGAUGAAAUGACUCGCAAGCGCAGAUGCUCCGGAAAUCCGAGUGGUACAGCUUAGCUUGGGAUCUGUGUCGGUUAAAUCUGUGUCACAUAUACGUUUUAGAAUACAGAGGUGAAUACAUCUGCAGAUGGGCUAUACUGGACCAUAGUACUAACUCCUCGCAAAGUCGCAAGUCUCCUCUCUUCAAGUCCAUCGAUGUCCCAUGCAAAAUAAAAUGAAAUAAGUCCAUCGAUCUCUCACUUAAAAAGAGUCCUAUGGCUGUGGAUGACCAGGGAGGCCGCCCUUGGCCAAUAUCCGGCACCGGUGAGUUCGUAUACCCUGUCAUGGUGGGUUUCUCAUCUAUCCUACCUCUCAUGAGGCGUCCGGUUCUUGUCUUUCCCAAGCUCACAUUAAUAUUCCCAAAUCAGCCAUCGGCCGGCCUUGGCGACAUCAUCUUCAUCCACUCCCGUGCUGCACACACCCAUUUCUCUGAUCUCUUAAAGCAACUCUAGCCGAGCCCAUAAAAGAUACAGGAGUAUUUGGCCGGGUAAACCUUAAUGGAGUAAAUUUAGUCCACUAAGUUUUGGUCGGUUCUAGCUGAUCCCCUAAAUUUAGCGGAGUAAAAUAAAAUUUGGUUAAGAUGAACAUAGAUUCGAUCUAAACAAACUUCUAAACUGAAAUUCGACACGUAAUUUACAUUAUCAUCCGUCGAAACAUAGUUCAAAGCGAUACUAAAACUUGAACUCAAACAUAAGCUAAAAUCUAAAUCUAACCAAAAAAAUUAGUCGCUAUUCGACUUUGCGAGGGAGAGCAAGUCCUCCCUAGAGAUUCCACCGCCCAUGGGGUCAGUCCCUAGGUCGUCUUUGUUGUAUCCAGGAAGGUCCUUCACCACUUAUCGAUGUUGAAGCUGUCAUCGUUGCCGCCUCCACUGCCACCAUUGUUGCCGCCUCCACCGAGCCAGCUCGUCAUCGACCAGCGCCCACGUGCAUCUAGGGAUCAUACAUUCAACAGGGGGUGACUCCAUGAGUCAGGUGAUCCACAAAAACCGCAUGAGCUAGAGUCCACCAUAUGGCUGUGUGCCCAAUAUCAUUUGUUGCUAAAGAAUGUAUGGAUAGAUGCCAAAGGAACAGCCUCACGUUUCCCGGCACUAGAACUUUCCAUAAACUUUUCCAUGAGCCCUCUUCAGCAGCCGAGGUGGAGGAACCAUCCCUUUGAUCUAAGCAUGACUAUUGGAGAAUUAAUUACAAUUAUGAAAUAUACAAAUAUAGACAUAGGAGAUAAGUCCAACCAAAUUUGGGAACUUGUCUAAAAAGGGAGAAAAUUAGUCUGACUUGAUUUGUGCUUUUAAUGAGGGUUCAUAUUAUAGGAUGAUAUUAAAUAAAUCCAAUUUUAUUGCUUGAUGGUUUACACGGGAUAAGGAUGACCAGUUCUCUCUUCUCUCAAUAUAUACGAUCGAUUCAUGUGCUCAUUGGUAACCAAACAUUUCUCAUCGACAACCAAAGUGACCUGAGAGCUUGCGUAGCUAGUGUUGUAUCUGGUUGGCCAUGGACAAGUACACGAUUCGCAUCCUUGCACUAGGAGCCCUAGUGUGUCUACAUCUCGUAUGCUCUGCUACUGUUGCUCAAUGUAAGGCAGCUAGCACACCGAUAUUUAUGUAUCUUCACAAUGCUUAAUUUUUCUUCACUUGUCCUGGCUGGAAGUAUGUACCUAGUAUAGCUAUCAAAGGCCUUUCUAUUUUGCUUUGUAACUGGUUCCAUCGUUUAUAUGCAUAUAUAUACAUACACACUACUCUAAAAUAAUUGCAUAACGAUGGUUGUUCGUUUGUUAUUAUUCCAUAAUAUAUAGGCCAAAUCAUGGCUGACACCGAUAGCAAGAAGAUCGAUCUACCAGACGGGCUAUGCGUUAAAAUAUCUCCUGAUGGUUGUACAUACCACGAUGGUCUUUGCUUCCAUUGUUUGGUAACUGACGUCUACUACCACACUAUGGAUGACUGCAAGAGCAAUUGUAACAAAUCCUCGUCUUUACAAGACGUGCUAGUUGCCAUGACAACCUCCCCUCCUCCUCCUUUAUCUGCUCCUUAAUUUUCCGGCCUAGACAAUGGUUAUAUGUACAAGAUUGUCCCCUGAAAAUAAUGCGUAUGUGCGGAAACCAGUUAUGCAAUGCGAGUAAUAUACUGCAGCAGUUGUUGCUGAGUAUUUUGGUUUGGCAGAUCACAUUUGAACCUUUACUAGCAAUUGUUGGGAGAGCGAUGAAAUGACUCGCAAGCGCAGAUGCUCCGGAAAUCUGAGUGGUACAACUUAGCUUGGGAUCUGUGUCAGUUAACUCUUUGUCACAUAUACGUUUUAGAAUACAGAGGUGAAUACAUUUGCAGAUGGGCCAUACUGGACCAUAGUACUCAGUACUCGCAAAGUCACAAGUCUCCUCUCUUCAAGUCCAUCGAUGUCCCAUGCAAAAUAAAAUGAAAUAAGUUCAUCGAUCUCUCGCUUAAAAAGAGUCCUAUGGCUGUGGAUGACCAAGGAGGCCGCCCUUGGCCAAUAUCCGGCACCAGUGAGUUCUUCUACCCUGUCAUGGUGGGUUUCGCAU